GUGCAGGUGAGUCUGGCGGCCUCAAGGUUGGCUCGGAGGUUUCACUGUUAGCCGGGUGCGGCCGGAGCGCAGGACCAGGCCAGAGCCGCCCCAAGUGAUCUGGGCGUGCCGGAGAAACGAGCAGGGCCUGCGGGGGUCCCUCAUGCGGCGAGGCCGAGCAAGGGCAGGGGCCUGAUGGGAUCGGGAUCUCUCCGGCCUCAGGGACGGGGAAGGCCGGUCCAGUCAGGUUUCCCCUGCAGGAGCGCCCGGCUGGGUCUGAGCUUGUCGGGAGGCUCUCCUGCUGCAGAGCUGGGAGGGAACUUAUAGUACCUCGCAGGUGGCAGCCAAGAGCCUCCUGGCACAGCGGCACCAGGCAGGUGACGCCUAUUGGACCCCAGAGGUCAUCCCAGCUCCAGACGUGGACACAUUUUCUUCCAAUGCGUGGAGCCAGGGUAGAAGUCACAGUGCAAGGAAGAUGUGGUAUGCCUGGUCAGUCUCUGCAUGGGAGUUGAGGAGCAUGUGGGUGACAUGGCUGAAUGUGGAGGAGGGAAUGGCAGUGG
RNAcentral lists this long non-coding RNA (539 nucleotides) under Homo sapiens (human). RNAcentral's name for it is "non-protein coding lnc-ZNF274-1:3". Lineage: Eukaryota; Metazoa; Chordata; Mammalia; Primates; Hominidae. The record is from RNAcentral.